UACGGAGGGCUCCUUCCAGGUUUCCGUCUUCUUCCCCAAGUCCAUUGGGGCGGAGUACUCUAGGGCUCCAUUAGCUUAUCUAAACUCAAGGUUUUGGAUAUAAAAGAGACUCCCCAUGUCCUCUCUAGCAUCCAACUUGGAAAUCCCUUGAUUAGAGAUGGCGAAAUCAAGAUAUUUCCAUGGAGAAUUCUUGAGGUUGUUCAACCGAUCCGGCCGCGAAGUCUCGCGGGAGGCAAGUUCUUAUGGGGAGCCAUCAUCUAGGCAAGGAAAUGUUGAGCCCUAGUUCUUACUUAGAUCAAAGAGCAGGUCGGAAUGCCCAGUGUUUGAGUUUGUCACAGGAAGAGCCCAAGUGUUGAGUUCGGAGUGUGACAAGCCAUGACACAACGCGGAAUUGAUGUGGGGGAACUUAACAACAUUGUUGAUAUAGCAAAUCCAGCACAAGCUAUAGACAAAUGUCUAUUGGAAAAUUUGAUAAGUUGGUUCGACCUUGGAAAGUCUGAUACUCAGCUCUCAUGCAGGGAUUGUUACUGUAUCCUGCGAAAUUGGGUAUUCAUGGAAUCUAAAUAGAGACCCUUGUGAAGUAAGUACAUCUAUGUUUUAUAUGUCAACAUAUAUCUGUAUAUCUUUUGGGAGAGAAGAAAGAGAAUUCUGUAAACUAAUAUAUUCUUGUAAAUUUGUAUAUCAACAACUGAAAGGUUCAGCAAUUAACCUGUAUCCCAGUACAUCGUCAAACCUCCAAUCUUCCUAGAAUUUUACAUCUGUGAAAUAAAAGUAGGCCAUAUAAGUUUUCUACCACCUCCUUAAGCAUUUGAAGUAGUGCAUUUUCAUUGUAUUGGUUGCUUAACUAUGUCAUUUCAUCCAAAAAGACUAGUCAUAAGAUAUUAUUUAGAUUUUUUAAUUUUGAGUAUUCAAGAUUUUUUCAGGAAAUGAAUGAUAUAGGAUUAAAUAUAUAUCAACAUGGAUCCACUUCACAUACUCUCUCCGUUUAAAUCUCGACAUUUUUGUCAAGUUAAGUGUCCAAAUCUGUGUAUCUAUUUAUAAACACUAUGAUCGGUUCGUGGUCAGUUUUAAUGAAUCAGUGUUGCAGUAUUUUUUUAGUCUACAUAAAUUAUGGAUUGGAUCAAUUUUAAUAUCAUUUAUCAUAAUUUAAAAUCUCAUCCAAUAAUGCUAGCUAGAAGAUAUUAUUUAGUUUUUUUGGUUUUAUAUAAGUAUUUAAGAUUUUUUCAAUGAAUAAUCGAUGUAGGAUUAAAUACAUAUCCGCAUGAAUCUUUACAUGUAUUGAGCUUAGAAUAUAACUUAGAAUAUAGAAAUAAACUUUGAAGAUAUUUUAGAACUGAAUUUGUAAACCACUUGGAACUUAUUAAACGGUGUAUUGAUUAAUAAUAACAUAAAGUACAUCGGUGGAGUACACAUCUAGAAUGCUUUUGUUGUUCUUUGUUUUCUGCUUCCAAGUUCUUAGUUUCCAUUUUGUUUGGAGUGGUCCGCCACUGCCAGCACAUGACAAUCACUGCAACUACUGCUUCCACCGACACUGCCUGCAAUACAAACUACUUUGUCUGCAACUACUAAGAGAACAGUCUGACCCAGUUGCUCAAAAAACUUUUUUUAAAACACCCCUCCAUUUAUCCAACAAUUUACCUGGUCAAUUAUUCAAGUCUCUCUCCUUUCUGUCCACUAAAUCUUGUGGACUAGCCACCUAAUAAAUCUCUUCCAUGCGCAAAUAAGUACCCUCCUUUUUAUACUGAGAAUUCUAAAUCUCACUUGCCUUCUCCCCACCCAUUUCUCAUCACUUUCCCCUAUCUCUCUAUAAGUUAAAACUUAGAAGGUAGGAGAGGAACUCUCCUCAACGACAAGGAAUUAAAAUUAGCAUUUAUGCCCACUUCAUGACAUGAACUAUGGGUAUAUGAUAGCACUGAUAUAGUACAAGUGCAAGUGAUAAUUUCAUUUUUGGUGUAAGUUUGAUUCACUAUUGUGGUAUACUGUCAUUCAAACACGAUGGAGAGAGGUUAAUAUUACUCCCUCUUCAUGAGAUAUACACUCUUUUUGCUAUCCGUUGUGGAGAGAAUAAAAAGGAAGAACACCUCGGUAAAGCAAAAGUGUCCGGUAAAGCGAAAGUGCUCUACAAAAGUUCCCAGCUAUUCUGAAGAAGAAGCCAGGGCAAUCACACAAUUGAAAAUUAAAAGCAGAGAAACAACUCUUCACCAGCCAGUGAGUCUAAAAGUCACAUGAAGUUUGAGGUGCAUGCAAGGUAUCGCCUGAUUACCAACUAACAGACAUUAUCCAGACAAUGCUUGGUUGCCCAAAGGAUUCCCAAUUUUGGCUUCCUUACACAUGGUUCAAUAGGAUGGGUUGUAGAUAUGGUUAUCAACGAAUUAAAUUCAUGUUACUAGGCUAAUGUCAACUCUAAAUUUGGAUAUGAAAAUAGUAAAUGUAUCAUGUAAACUGGUUAAACUAAUCUCUAGCAACCACAGCUCCAAUCUUUCCUUAUGGGAUUUUCCUGGCUUGAGAGAAAAGUAGUUUUCCUAACCAUAAACGGUGUGCACAUAAAGUUUGCAUGACCAUUUUACUGUUGCAUGUUUUAAACUGCAGACGUCAGGUUGGGUCUUCCAACUCUCCCACCAACCUACAAGGUUUCAUAAAUGAUAAGCCACUUUCUUGCCUAAACUAACCUUGGCAAAUUACUCAGCACCAAUCAUCAGGCUGAAGUUAGACUGGGAGAGGUGAUAACAAAUGGUCCCAAACAUUGAUGGAUGGGCCAGGUCCUCACUCCUUAAUGGAUCAUUAAUGAAUAAGCCUUGUUCCACCCGUAGACUAGACUCAUGUGCUGUGGUUGUGCUCUGUUUGCAUGUCCUAUCAAGCAUGCCACUGCCAUGGAAAUCAUGGAACAUGUAAUCAGUCAUUCUGUCAUCAAAUGAUAUGACUGCAUUUCAAAGUACUAGUCAUGCUAGUUCAUAUCUGAGUAUAAAGAGUGAUGUUGGAUUCAGAGGCUGUCAAAUAUCACUAAAUGAAUGGUCAAAAUUCACUUACAAAUAAAAAAGUGGGACUAGUAAAUCUUUCACAUUGAUGGGUUUUAAUAUUAAUUAGUGAGCAACAAACACAUGUUAGACCUGAGCUUAGAUUGUAUUGUCAUGAUGGACUCAAACCAACCUAGUUUAUCAGUUUGUCUUAUUUUUUAUGAAGCAAAUGAAAGCCAGCAUGAUCAGAGAAUGGGUCAAGUUGCUAAGUAUUCAAAUGUUUCUGAAAAGUACAUAUUAGAUAAUUUUCUCCCUUGUGUAAAUUUUUCAUCCACAAUGGUUGAACAAUUUGGUUUUUAAGUCAAUGUUUUCCUUUAUAAAUUAAAAGGAUGGUAGUUGGAGCACCAUCAAACUUUUAAUUUUCAAUCAAAGGGAAGGUGCAAGGAUCCCUCAAAGCAAGAUACAAGGGAGAAAUGAGAUAAGAGAGUGGAUUCUAUUAUCUCAGAUGGUAAACACCCCUUCCAAACA
Elaeis guineensis (African oil palm) is the source of this 3482-nucleotide non-coding RNA. Lineage: Eukaryota; Viridiplantae; Streptophyta; Magnoliopsida; Arecales; Arecaceae. The record is from RefSeq and is a predicted model, not a curated record.